GGAUUCCCCUAGUAACUGCGAGUGAAGCGGGAAAAGCUCAAAUUUAAAAUCUGUCAGUCUUUGGCUGUCCGAGUUGUAAUCUAGAGAAGUGUUAUCCGCGCUGGACCGUGUACAAGUCUCCUGGAAUGGAGCGUCAUAGAGGGUGAGAAUCCCGUCUUUGACACGGACUGCCAGGGCUUUUGUGGUGCGCUCUCAAAGAGUCGAGUUGUUUGGGAAUGCAGCUCAAAAUGGGUGGUAAAUUCCAUCUAAAGCUAAAUAUUGGCGAGAGACCGAUAGCGAACAAGUACCGUGAGGGAAAGAUGAAAAGAACUUUGGAAAGAGAGUUAAACAGUACGUGAAAUUGCUGAAAGGGAAACGCUUGAAGUCAGUCGCGUUGGCCAGGGAUCAACCUUGCUUUUGCUUGGUGUACUUUCUGGUUGAUGGGUCAGCAUCAAUUUUGACUGUUGGAAAAAGAUCAAGGGAAUGUGGCAUCUUUUGGAUGUGUUAUAGCCCUUGGUUGUAUACAAUGGUUGGGAUUGAGGAACUCAGCACGCCGCAAGGCCGGGUUUUUAAACCACGUACGUGCUUAGGAUGCUGGCAUAAUGGCUUUAAUCGACCCGUCUUGAAACACGGACCAAGGAGUCUAACAUGCCUGCGAGUGUUUGGGUGGAAAACCCGAGCGCGUAAUGAAAGUGAAAGUUGAGAUCCCUGUCGUGGGGAGCAUCGACGCCCGGACCAGACCUUUUGUGACGGUUCCGCGGUAGAGCAUGUAUGUUGGGACCCGAAAGAUGGUGAACUAUGCCUGAAUAGGGUGAAGCCAGAGGAAACUCUGGUGGAGGCUCGUAGCGAUUCUGACGUGCAAAUCGAUCGUCAAAUUUGGGUAUAGGGGCGAAAGACUAAUCGA
RNAcentral lists this ribosomal RNA (883 nucleotides) under Cortinarius delibutus. RNAcentral describes it as "eukaryotic LSU rRNA". It matches the Rfam family "Eukaryotic large subunit ribosomal RNA", at positions 72 to 938 of the family's 3401-position model. Lineage: Eukaryota; Fungi; Basidiomycota; Agaricomycetes; Agaricales; Cortinariaceae. The record is from RNAcentral.